This 497-nucleotide ribosomal RNA is filed under the name uncultured bacterium. Its description in RNAcentral is "partial 16S ribosomal RNA". It matches the Rfam family "Bacterial small subunit ribosomal RNA", at positions 28 to 507 of the family's 1533-position model. The record is from RNAcentral.
GACGAACGCUGGCGGCGUGCCUAAUACAUGCAAGUAGAACGCUGAAGAGAGGAGCUUGCUCUUCUUGGAUGAGUUGCGAACGGGUGAGUAACGCGUAGGUAACCUGCCUGGUAGCGGGGGAUAACUAUGGGAAACGAUAGCUAAUACCGCAUAAAAUUGAUUAUUGCAUGAUAAUUAAUUGAAAGAUGCAACUGCAUCACUACCAGAUGGACCUGCGUUGUAUUAGCUAGUUGGUGAGGUAACGGCUCAUCAAGGCGACGACACAUAGUCAAACGGAGAGGGUGGUCGGCCGCCCUGGGACUGAGACACGGCCCAGACGGCUACGGGGGGCAGCCGUAGGGAAACUUCGGCCAUGGGGGGGACCCUGACCGAGAUACGCCGCGUGAGUGAAGAAGGUUUUCGGGUCGUAAAGCUCUGUUUUAAGGGAAGAACGGGUGUGAGAGUGGAAAGUUCACAGUGUGACGGUAUCUUACCAGAAAGGGACGGCUAACUACGUG